RNAcentral lists this ribosomal RNA (477 nucleotides) under uncultured organism. RNAcentral describes it as "partial 16S ribosomal RNA". It matches the Rfam family "Bacterial small subunit ribosomal RNA", at positions 332 to 800 of the family's 1533-position model. The record is from RNAcentral.
UACACUCCUACGGGAGGCAGCAGUGGGGAAUAUUGCACAAUGGGCGCAAGCCUGAUGCAGCCAUGCCGCGUGUAUGAAGAAGGCCUUCGGGUUGUAAAGUACUUUCAGCGGGGAGGAAGGCAAUACGGUUAAUAACCGUGUUGAUUGACGUUACCCGCAGAAGAAGCACCGGCUAACUCCGUGCCAGCAGCCGCGGUAAUACGGAGGGUGCAAGCGUUAAUCGGAAUUACUGGGCGUAAAGCGCACGCAGGCGGUCUGUCAAGUCGGAUGUGAAAUCCCCGGGCUCAACCUGGGAACUGCAUUCGAAACUGGCAGGCUUGAGUCUUGUAGAGGGGGGUAGAAUUCCAGGUGUAGCGGUGAAAUGCGUAGAGAUCUGGAGGAAUACCGGUGGCGAAGGCGGCCCCCUGGACAAAGACUGACGCUCAGGUGCGAAAGCGUGGGGAGCAAACAGGAUUAGAUACCCCGGUAGUCCCAUGA